This 261-nucleotide ribosomal RNA is filed under the name uncultured archaeon. RNAcentral describes it as "partial 16S ribosomal RNA". It matches the Rfam family "Archaeal small subunit ribosomal RNA", at positions 748 to 1008 of the family's 1478-position model. The record is from RNAcentral.
AGGGUGUAAACGCUGCAGACUUGGUGUUGGAAGCCCUUUGGGGGCAUUCAGUGCCGGAGAGAAGUUGUUAAGUCUGCUACUUGGGGAGUACGUCCGCAAGGAUGAAACUUAAAGGAAUUGGCGGGGGAGCACCGCAACGGGAGGAGCGUGCGGUUUAAUUGGAUUCAACACCGUAAAGCUCACCAGGGAAGGCUGUUACAUGAAGGCCGAGAUGAAGACUCUGCUAGAUUUUCAGAGAGGUGGUGCAUGGCGUCAGUGACU